CUAAAAGUAAAAAAUGAGUCAUUGAAUUGUUUUUUGCAUAUAAAGUUGUAUAUUACUGCCCGAUGAUCGAUGUGGCUUGGGUUGAUGAGCUGGAGCUGGUGGUGGAGAGAAAAAAGUGGUGACUUAGAAAGAUGGGAAGCAAGCUAGUGGGAGCUCUGAGUAGAGUUGUUCGACUCCAUAGGCACGUCAGGGUUAGCAACAGAGGGUGUCGCUUGUGCUUUCUUGAACCCCAUGGUAGAUUGGAGGAGAUGGCUGAUCAGAACCUCAUAUAGGGGAUGAGGGUUCCUUCCUCUCUCACAAUUCUAUUGCCACAAAGUAUCAAUUAAUCUGGCUCAGACUGAUGAGCUAGAGCCAAUAAUGAAGAGGUGACAAUGGCAACCUAAGAAGCCAAGAGGCAAGCCAAGGAUCUUGAUGGAGCAAUCAACAGCUGGAUUCUCAAUCCUACCUCCAAGAGUGCCCUAAAAUACCACAAGCAAAGAAAAUUUGCUUGCCAGGGUUUUUCCAAUAUAGAACCCUUUAAUUCCUAGGUCAAUCUUCCUCGGUAGAUCGAAGGAGGUUUUGAGUAAGAGUAGGUAAAGAGAGAAAGAAUGAAUAGGAGAAGCUAAAGUGAUGUGAGAAUUUGAGC
This 625-nucleotide long non-coding RNA is filed under the name Elaeis guineensis (African oil palm). RNAcentral describes it as "long non-coding RNA (EGUI_LNC023010)". The record is from RNAcentral. Lineage: Eukaryota; Viridiplantae; Streptophyta; Magnoliopsida; Arecales; Arecaceae.